RNAcentral lists this ribosomal RNA (392 nucleotides) under uncultured Gammaproteobacteria bacterium. Its description in RNAcentral is "bacterial SSU rRNA". It matches the Rfam family "Bacterial small subunit ribosomal RNA", at positions 370 to 779 of the family's 1533-position model. The record is from RNAcentral. Lineage: Bacteria; Pseudomonadati; Pseudomonadota; Gammaproteobacteria.
AAUGGGGGCAACCCUGAUCCAGCCAUGCCGCGUGAGUGAUGAAGGCCUUAGGGUCGUAAAGCUCUUUCGCCUGUGAAGAUAAUGACGGUAGCAGGUAAAGAAACCCCGGCUAACUCCGUGCCAGCAGCCGCGGUAAUACGGAGGGGGUUAGCGUUGUUCGGAAUUACUGGGCGUAAAGCGCACGUAGGCGGACUGGAAAGUUGGGGGUGAAAUCCCAGGGCUCAACCCUGGAACUGCCUCCAAAACUAUCAGUCUAGAGUUCGAGAGAGGUGAGUGGAAUUCCGAGUGUAGGGGUGAAAUUCGUAGAUAUUCGGAGGAACACCAGUGGCGAAGGCGGCUCACUGGCUCGAUACUGACGCUGAGGUGCGAAAGUGUGGGGAGCAAACAGGAUU